UUAUAGAGUCUUUCAAAUAAUAACGAAGGUGUCCCAAGGCAAUUUCAGUGCGAAUAGAAACCACACGUAGAGCAAAAGGGCAAGCGCUGACUUGAUCUCGAUGUUCAGUACACAUAGAGACAGCAAAAGCUCGGCCUAUCGAU
This 143-nucleotide non-coding RNA is filed under the name Megaselia scalaris. Its description in RNAcentral is "Eukaryotic large subunit ribosomal RNA". It matches the Rfam family "Eukaryotic large subunit ribosomal RNA", at positions 2631 to 2772 of the family's 3401-position model. Lineage: Eukaryota; Metazoa; Arthropoda; Insecta; Diptera; Phoridae. The record is from Rfam by way of RNAcentral.